This 3314-nucleotide long non-coding RNA is filed under the name Bos indicus x Bos taurus (hybrid cattle). Its description in RNAcentral is "lncRNA (ENSBIXG00000010670.1)". Lineage: Eukaryota; Metazoa; Chordata; Mammalia; Artiodactyla; Bovidae. The record is from RNAcentral.
GAAGCUCUUUUGACAGUGCAGGGCUACUGAAGUGGGGCCCUCUGGCACUCCUAAAAUCUGACCCAAGUCACAAACCCUCUCCUGUAGAGACUCAUGUGGGCACAUCCUCACCCCAUUUGUUUUCAGUUCAAGGGAGAUCAUGGGACCCCUGAUGCGCACUUGAGACCCACCCUAGUUAAAAAGUCCUAUUUCCAUCUCUUUCAACCCUUCCAGGCCCUGGGGGUCCCAGGCCGAGUCAACAGCUCCGGCUACAUUGUGGUGAACUCCACGGCCAUGGACGCUCAGGUGCUGGUCACCGUGGAUGCCAGCACGCUACGGGGGCUGCUUGUCCUCAGUACCACCGAGACCCAGCAGGAGGUGAACUUGCUGCUCACACACAACCUGCCUCAGCCCAACCCCUUGGCCCUCCCAGCCCAGAUCCUGCUGUACCUGACCAACGAGAGGCUCGGGCCCAGCUACAGACACACCCUGUGGGUCGGAGUGGAUGGCAAAGAGGUCUCUGCGGACGUUGACAGCAGCGGCGCUGGCUUUGAGAAUUCAGGACGCGUCUCGUCGGGGUCCACGUCUCUGAACUACUCCGUGAGCUGCCAUCACCGCGAUGGGCGCCUGGAGUUCUCUGGUUGGAGCGAGCACAACAGCUGGGCCCUGCGGCAGGCGGGGUUCCCUGGAGAGGCCCGCCUGGGCGCCGAGCUGCAGAUGCAGAAGACCCAGACGCAGGCCCGUGUGGUCCUCCAAGCUGGGGACGAUGGGAUCAGCAUGGACGCGGUAGCCCUGGUGGCCCGGCCAGUGAAUGGCCCCCUGGAGCUGGUGGUGAAUGUCAGCCACACGGCACCUCUUCUCCGGAGGCUGGGCCUGCCCUUUGCCAGCCAGCUCAUGUUCCGGGAGCUCUGGGAAAAGGAAGAGAUGCAUUCUUCCCUGCAGCUGACGUGCGAUUCUCAAACCAGCCUGGUCCUCAACAUCCAAGGCCACAACCAGGCACUCAGCAAAGAGCUGCGGCUCUCCGGCCAGCAUCACCUCCCUGUCCUCCUUGGCCGCUGCCCCAGCAGAGCCUCCGCCUCAGCCAAGCUACGAUACUCUGAGGGUGGAGCUGAGGGCACAUUUGUGUUGAUGGUGGAGGAGCAUCAUUUCCACAUGGGUGCCGGGCUCGCAGCUGCGAAGAACAGCCUUACCAACAUCAUCAAGCUGGAGCAGAACUUCCCCCAGUUCCACGCCCUUCCUGGGGAGCUGGUCCUUCAGACCUCAUACGAGCGAGCCCGUGGCACCCAAGUCCUGCACCACACGGUGCUGUGGGACGGGCAGGGUGUGGCCCUCAAGGGGAGCCUCAAUGGGAGCCUCUCCAUGCCCUUCCUCAAGCCCGCUGGGACCCUUGGUCUGCAGGUGGAGCUCACCCACCCGCUGCCCCUGCCCCUUCCAUGGCACUGCAGCUUCCGCCUGACCUCCGAGCAUUCAGCACGCCGUCACCAGGAUGACCUGGUUGUGGCCUGGGACGGCAAGGACCAGGUGGCGCUGUCCUCCUCUCUGCGGCUGGGGAAGGGCAAGCUGGCCGCCCGCCUGGCCCUGGCUCACCCUUUCAGCCUCUCCUGGCGGCAGGCCGAGGCCAGUGGCCUUGCUGAGAGCAGGGGCGGCAGGCAGAGCUGGCAGGUGCAGCUUGCCUGGAACGGAGGGCAGCCGCUGGCCUUGCAGCUCACCUGGGCCAACAGGUCCUCGACGCAGAGCACCUCCUGGGAUGGUUGCGUGGCUGCCUCCCUGGGGCAGCUCCAGGACACCUGGGGCCUGGGCACCCUCAGGGCCUGUGGGGCCUUAACGCAGACCCCAGCUGUGCUCAGCGAGUGGCUGGAUCUGUCCUGGGACGGACGCCAGGUGCGGCAGAACCUGACUUACGAGAGGCGCCAGCCAUUCCUCCCGGACAAGAUCCAUGCAGAGGCCAUGCUGGAGCAUGUCCUCGGGGCCCCCUGCUCCACGCAGAGCUUCUGGGGAGACGUGGAGACAGACCAUGCCCGCUGGGUGCGCCACUCCCUGCGGCUGGGGCUCUGCCACCUGCCCACGGCACUCUCAGUCUCUGGGGAGCACACCCUGGGCAGCGGUAAGCUCCUGCUACACUCCAGAUGCCAGCUGGGCCUCGCCCCAGACCCAGAUCACGGCCUGCACCUCAGCCUGACACUCCACAACCACAGCAGGCCCCGGACGCAUGACUACUCCGGGGAGCUGGAGCUCCAUGGCCCCAAAGCUCAGUGGCUUGGCCUGCUGGGCCGCGUCUCCACCUCGGCUUCUCGAAGCCUGGUCCAGCUGGAGGGAAGCGUGGACGACGGGGAUGAGAAAGUGAGGCUGUCGGUGUCUCGGGCCCCGAACUGCCUCCAGGCCUCGGUGGCCCACGAGGAAGGGAGCCAAGAGGAGAGCGUGCUGCUGUGGGCCUGCGCCCACAGGCAGGCAGCGGAGGUGGAGGCUCUGCUCCGGGACCGAGGGCAGCCCGUCCAGCCGCUGGUUCGCUUGACCCUGCAGGCUGCCAACCAGAGCCUCCGCUUGGCCGCACGCGGCUGCCAGGGGACCCUGCUGGGCCACGUGGAGUCCAGGGUGGCUGCUCUCGGGUCCCAGAUGCAAGCGGGGCUGGAGGAGAGGAUCCACAGCUUGGAUGCCUAUGUGAGACGGUUCCAGCGCCUGGUGCAGCCAGCGGGCGCCCUGGAUGGCAUGGCCGGCCUGCUUCUGCGGCUGUGCCAGGCGGGGCUGGGGGCCGUGCAGGAUGGUGGCAGGGCGGUGGCCGCGCUGUGGGGCCUGAGCCCCACUGGGCGGGUGCUCACCCUCCACGUGCCGCUCUCCCUGGAGAGGCUGCGGGCAGGUUUGGAGCAGCUGCGGAAGGAGCUAGAACGGCCCCUGGCCACGCUGAAGGAUGCCUACCUGGAGGUGACGGUGCAGCCCCUGGACAACGUGUGGCGGAAGCGGGUGGAGGAGGCCCUGCGGCAGCUGCAGGCCUGGGUGUCCGGGACACCGGGCACCUGGGGGUCCGGACCCCUUGGGGCAGCGCUGGAGGCCACAGGGGGCGCCCUGGAGCUGGCCGCCCACCAGAUGCUGUCUUGGGCCGACGCUGCGCUCUCACGGGCACUAAGGCGGCUCCGCAGACCCCUGUUGGACCUGUACAGCUUCUCGGCCAGGUGACUGUUCCGCUCCGAGGCCCUGCCCCACGCCAGGCACACCUUCCACCUCAUCCACUUCCCUGCCAGAGGCAUUUUCAUCCCCAUUUUACAGAUCAGAAAACUGAGGUCUGUUCUUCAUUCUGCAGAUAUUUUACAAGUGUUCUCUCUGAGCAGGUGGGGUUUUAG